Molecule: non-coding RNA, 147 nt
Filed under: Pan troglodytes (chimpanzee)
Lineage: Eukaryota; Metazoa; Chordata; Mammalia; Primates; Hominidae
Source: Rfam by way of RNAcentral
GCCAGGUGUGGUGGCGCACGCCUGUAAUCCCAGCUAUCAGGAGGCUGAGGCAGCAGAAUUGCUUGAACCUGGGAGGUGGAGGUUGCAGUGAGACGAGAUUGAGCCACUGCACUCCAGCCUGGGUGACAGAGCAAGACUCUGUCUCAA